GAUGAACGCUGGCGGCGUGCCUAAUACAUGCAAGUCGAGCGAACGGACGAGAAGCUUGCUUCUCUGAUGUUAGCGGCGGACGGGUGAGUAACACGUGGAUAACCUACCUAUAAGACUGGGAUAACUUCGGGAAACCGGAGCUAAUACCGGAUAAUAUUUUGAACCGCAUGGUUCAAAAGUGAAAGACGGUCUUGCUGUCACUUAUAGAUGGAUCCGGGCUGCAUUAGCUAGUCGGUAAGGUAACGGCUUACCAAGGCAACGAUGCAUAGCCGACCUGAGAGGGUGAUCGGCCACACUGGAACUGAGACACGGUCCAGACUCCUACGGGAGGCAGCAGUAGGGAAUCUUCCGCAAUGGGCGAAAGCCUGACGGAGCAACGCCGCGUGAGUGAUGAAGGUCUUCGGAUCGUAAAACUCUGUUAUUAGGGAAGAACAUAUGUGUAAGUAACUGUGCACAUCUUGACGGUACCUAAUCAGAAAGCCACGGCUAACUACGUG
RNAcentral lists this ribosomal RNA (497 nucleotides) under uncultured bacterium. Its description in RNAcentral is "partial 16S ribosomal RNA". It matches the Rfam family "Bacterial small subunit ribosomal RNA", at positions 28 to 507 of the family's 1533-position model. The record is from RNAcentral.